Molecule: ribosomal RNA, 421 nt
Filed under: uncultured bacterium
Lineage: Bacteria
Description: partial 16S ribosomal RNA
Rfam family: Bacterial small subunit ribosomal RNA
Source: RNAcentral
AAUAUUGGACAAUGGGCGAAAGCCUCAUCCAGCCAUGCCGCGUGUGUGAAGAAGGUCUUCGGAUUGUAAAGCACUUUCAGUUGGGAGGCAGGGCAGUAAGUUAACAUCUGGCUGUUUUGACGUUACCGACAGAAUAAGCACCGCCUAUCUUCCUGCUAGCAGCCGCGGUAAUAAGUAGGGUGCAAGCGUUAAUCGGAAUUACUGGGCGUAAAAAGGGAGAAGGUGGUUUGUUGAGUUAGAAGUGAAAGCCCCGGGCUCAACCUGGGAACUGCUUUCAAAACUGGCAUGCUAGAGUAUAGCAGAGGGUGGUGGAAUUUCCCGUGUAGCGGUGAAAUGCGUAGGUAUAGGAAGGAACACCAGUAGCGAAGGCGACCACCUGAGCUAAUACUGACACUGAGGUGCGAAAGCGUGGGGAGCAAAC